CAAUAGCGUAUAUUAAAGUUGUUGCAGUUAAAAAGCUCGUAGUUGGAUUUCUGGGAGGGUGCUAAUGUCCGCCGUAGCGCGUGUGCAGCCGCGCCCUUCCAUCCUUCUGUUAACGCCUCUUGGCAUUCAUUUGCUGGUGGCGGGCUCAGAUAUUUUACCUUGAGAAAAUUAGAGUGUUCAAAGCAGGCUUUUGCUGUGAAUACAUUAGCAUGGAAUAAUAAUCUAGGACUUCGGUUUUAUUUUGUUGGUUUCUAAAAUUAGAAGUAAUGAUUGAUAGGGAUAGUUGGGGGUGGCUAGUAUUGGCCGGCCAGAGGUGAAAUUCUUGGAUUCGGUCAAGACUAACUUAUGCGAAAGCAUUCACCAAGGAUGUCUUCUUUAAUCAAGAACGAAAGUUGGGGGAUCGAAGACGAUUAGAUACCAU
This 421-nucleotide ribosomal RNA is filed under the name uncultured eukaryote. Its description in RNAcentral is "bacterial SSU rRNA". It matches the Rfam family "Eukaryotic small subunit ribosomal RNA", at positions 592 to 1018 of the family's 1831-position model. The record is from RNAcentral.